UACGUAGGGGGCAAGCGUUAUCCGGAUUUACUGGGUGUAAAGGGAGCGUAGACGGUGAUGCAAGUCAGAAGUGAAAGCCCGGGGCUCAACUCCGGGACUGCUUUUGAAACUGUGUGACUGGAGUGCAGGAGAGGUAAGCGGAAUUCCCGGUGUAGCGGUGGAAUGCGCAGAUAUCGGGAAGAACACCGAUGGCGAAGGCAGACCUCUGGGCCGACACUGACGCUGAGGCGCGAAAGCUAGGGGAGCGAACAGG
This 253-nucleotide ribosomal RNA is filed under the name uncultured Lachnospiraceae bacterium. RNAcentral describes it as "partial 16S ribosomal RNA". It matches the Rfam family "Bacterial small subunit ribosomal RNA", at positions 524 to 776 of the family's 1533-position model. The record is from RNAcentral. Lineage: Bacteria; Bacillati; Bacillota; Clostridia; Lachnospirales; Lachnospiraceae.